This 694-nucleotide ribosomal RNA is filed under the name uncultured bacterium. Its description in RNAcentral is "bacterial SSU rRNA". It matches the Rfam family "Bacterial small subunit ribosomal RNA", at positions 32 to 715 of the family's 1533-position model. The record is from RNAcentral.
AACGCUAGCUACAGGCUUAACACAUGCAAGUCGAGGGGUAACGAGAGGGAAGCUUGCUUUCCUUGUCGACGACCGGCGAAUGGGUGAGUAACGCGUAUCCAACCUGCCCUUCAGUAAGGGAUAGCCUUUCGAAAGAAAGAAUAAUACCUUAUAAGAUCGUUUGAUGACAUCAGAUGACGAUUAAAGAUUAAUCGCUGAAGGAUGGGGAUGCGUCCCAUUAGGCAGUAGGCGGGGUAACGGCCCACCUAACCUACGACGGGUAGGGGUUCUGAGAGGAAGGUCCCCCACAUUGGAACUGAGACACGGUCCAAACUCCUACGGGAGGCAGCAGUGAGGAAUAUUGGUCAAUGGCCGUAAGGCUGAACCAGCCAAGUAGCGUGCAGGAUGACGGCCCUAUGGGUUGUAAACUGCUUUUAAACGGGGAUAAAGUGAGCCACGUGUGGUUUAUUGCAGGUACCGUUUGAAUAAGGACCGGCUAAUUCCGUGCCAGCAGCCGCGGUAAUACGGAAGGUCCAGGCGUUAUCCGGAUUUAUUGGGUUUAAAGGGAGCGUAGGCGGAGCGUCAAGCCAGCAGUGAAAUGUAGCGGCCCAACCGCUGCACUGCUGUUGGAACUGGCGCCCUUGAGUGCACACGAGGUAUGCGGAAUUUGUGGUGUAGCGGUGAAAUGCUUAGAUAUCACGAAGAACUCCGAUUG